AGUAGGGAAUCUUCGGCAAUGGGCGAAAGCCUGACCGAGCAACGCCGCGUGAGCGAUGAAGGCCUUCGGGUCGUAAAGCUCUGUUGUUAAGGAAGAACAAGUACGAGAGUAACUGCUCGU
RNAcentral lists this ribosomal RNA (120 nucleotides) under uncultured bacterium. Its description in RNAcentral is "partial 16S ribosomal RNA". It matches the Rfam family "Bacterial small subunit ribosomal RNA", at positions 353 to 471 of the family's 1533-position model. The record is from RNAcentral.